UUUCCUUGAAGCUUUUAGUUCAGCAAAGAUACAGAGGAGGCAUAAAGAUAAAAUUAUUAGCAGAAGGAAGGGAGUUCACUGACAGCUGUGUUUCUCUUUUUGAGGUGACAGCAAAUGGCAAAGAUCUUUGCCAGAUAAAAGUUGACUGCAGAAGACUUACAGCCUGACAUACAUGUUUUCUGACCUCCAUGCGAGGCUGGGUCACAAGAACUAGACAAGUGGGGAGCGGGAAGUGCCUGCCUGGUCCGAAUGCAGGGAGUCCGAGGUCGCGGUGCCACCUCCCUGUGAGGUCAGCACAGGUCUAAGCUAGAGGUCUAGGUCUGGAGACCAGAAACAUUGGCAUCACCUGGGAGCUUUUUAGACCUGCACAUUCUCGGCUCUUCUCCCUCUCCCCCGCAACCUGCUGAAUCAGACUACAUUUUAACAAUAGCCUCAGCUACAGAAGAUGGGAGUAUAGGCAGCAGGUAUACCCAUCCCUGAGGGAGAAUGCACAGAAUGCCUUGCCUUGAAGCUGCAACUGGGAAAGCAUGGAAAGAAUGGUUUCCAGGAUAGUGUUACUGUGCUCUUAUAAGAAGGAGGAAUGUGGAAGAGAUCCUGCAGAGACAGAAAUCAGAUAACUUACAGAUUCUUGAAAAGAACAUUUUCUCAUCUGCAUGCAGAGACAUGAUCUCAUCGCCCAGACAGGAGUGCGGAGGCAUGACUGCAGCUGACCGUAACCUCGAGCUCCUGGGCUCAAGUGAGCCUCCCAUCUCAGUGUUGCAAGUAGCUGGGACUACUGGUGUGUUACCACACUCCGCUAAUUUUUUUAAAGUUAUUUUUUAUAGAGACAGGAUCUUACUAUGUUGCCCAGCUGGUCUCAAACUCCUGGUGUCAAGCAACCCUCCUGCCUUGGCCUCCCAAAGUGCUGGGAUUACAGACGUGAGCCACCAUGCCUGGCUCAUUUCUGUCAUAUGUUUACAAACAUGCCCAUUUUCUGAACCCUCCAAUCUGUAUCACUGGGGUAAGGCAGGAUGGGGAGCUCUCAUAGAACAAAAGCAAAACCCAAGGAACUUCAGGAUAGCUACCACCUUUGCCAAGGAUUGAGCCACCUCAAUCAUAUAUCACCUGAUUUUGAAAUCUUUGAGCUUUUCUGCAUUCAGUUUGGCUGUUAAGAAAUCUGGAAGUUUUCGGCCCAACUGGUGAAAACUGUACAACAAACAUUCCACAUAACUGAACUGUAGCUUGGGUUCUUCAUUACCAGCAUUCUCUC
Molecule: long non-coding RNA, 1249 nt
Filed under: Homo sapiens (human)
Lineage: Eukaryota; Metazoa; Chordata; Mammalia; Primates; Hominidae
Description: long non-coding RNA NONHSAT160274.1
Source: RNAcentral